Paramormyrops kingsleyae is the source of this 92-nucleotide small nucleolar RNA. Ensembl annotates it as Z30 small nucleolar RNA. The record is from Ensembl. NCBI's taxonomy places the organism in Eukaryota, Metazoa, Chordata, Actinopteri, Osteoglossiformes, Mormyridae.
AGCACUGAUGAACGGAAGUAUAGUCUGACCUGGUAUUGCCCACUUAUAGGCUCUGACCAGGACCUGAAGACUGUAAUCUUCUCUCUGAGCUG